Molecule: ribosomal RNA, 248 nt
Filed under: uncultured Lachnospiraceae bacterium
Lineage: Bacteria; Bacillati; Bacillota; Clostridia; Lachnospirales; Lachnospiraceae
Description: partial 16S ribosomal RNA
Rfam family: Bacterial small subunit ribosomal RNA
Source: RNAcentral
UACGUAUGGUGCAAGCGUUAUCCGGAUUUACUGGGUGUAAAGGGAGCGCAGGCGGCAUGGCAAGUCCGAUGUGAAAACCCGGGGCUCAACCCCGGGACUGCAUUGGAAACUGUCAGGCUAGAGUGUCGGAGAGGUAAGUGGAAUUCCUAGUGUAGCGGUGAAAUGCGUAGAUAUUAGGAGGAACACCAGUGGCGAAGGCGGCUUACUGGACGACAACUGACGCUGAGGCUCGAAAGCGUGGGGAGCAA